This 497-nucleotide ribosomal RNA is filed under the name uncultured bacterium. Its description in RNAcentral is "partial 16S ribosomal RNA". It matches the Rfam family "Bacterial small subunit ribosomal RNA", at positions 28 to 507 of the family's 1533-position model. The record is from RNAcentral.
GAUGAACGCUGGCGGCGUGCCUAAUACAUGCAAGUCGAGCGAAUAGACGAGGAUCUUGCUUCUCUGACGUUUGCGGCGGAUGGGUGAGUACCAGGUAGAUGACUUACAUUUGGGGCUGAGGUACGGUCAGGUGCCCGUAGCUCGUAUCGGUUCAUAUUUUGAAAGUCGUGGUUCAUCGGUCAAAAAGCGAUCUGCUGUGACUUUGACGUAGAUCCGAGUUGCAUUAGCAAGUUGGUAAGGUAACGGCUUACCAAGGCAACGAUGCGUAGCCGACCUGAGAGGGUGAUCGGCCACACUGGAACUGAGACACGGUCCAGACUCCUACGGGAGGCAGCAGUAGGGAAUCUUCCGCAAUGGGCGAAAGCCUGAUGGAGCAACGCCGCGUGAGUGAUGAAGGUCUUCGGAUCGUAAAACUCUGUUAGUAGGGAAGAACAAAUGUGUAUGUAACUAUGCACGUCUUGACGUUACCGAAACAGAAAGCCACGGCUAACUACGUG